AGAAAGUGAAAGCGUUUGCACAUCUGUGGUGCUCCCGUGAAAAUACUGCUGCUUCUCAAAGAAUCGAGUGUGCCCACCUCAGCUGUGUGCUUUAUCAAAAAAACAUUUGAGUAGCGUUGGUGUAUGCCAAUCACCAAAGAGCUUAGCAAUGUUUACUAAUAAAGUUCUCUAUGCAAUAAGUAUAUUGAAGUUUCUCUCAAAUUCAUAAUUCUACUUUCAAAAUGGACAGUGCAAGUUUCCUGACCUGCUGCAGCAGGGAGAUUCUUUUCGAGGUAAGCCUUCUGUACCAACUACAGGACAACAACUUUGGCCUUGGUAUUAAGCUCUGAAAACACUGAAACUGUAUCCUGUUGGCAGGAUACAGUUUGAAACUUUCAGCAUUUUAAUUUAGGUCAGUGAGCAUGGGUGGAGUGGUUUUGGAUAACUUUGGAUUUCUGCCUCAACUUCAUCCUGCUUGGCUGCUGGGUCACUUUAUUGAAAUACUAGAAAACAUGCCCAAAAUCCCAUGAACAAACUACACAGAUCAGAAUGUCCCAACCAUGAUUAAAGCUAAGAGUUAAACCCAUAACAAGUCUGAGGAAGCCAGCCUCCACAAUGCUUUCUCAUUUUAAAAUUGUAAGUAACAUAGCUUUUACAAACAAGAAGCCUGAUGUUAACCAGACAUGUUCCACAUCUUUGAAAUCAAUCUGUAUUAAUGCUUCAGCAAAUAUUGAAAAACUUAAGCAAUCACUUAAAAACAUGGCAGUCAUUGUUACAGAAAAAUGCAUAAAAUAGAACACAUUUUCCCCCAUGAUUUCUGAUUACUGACCAAUCACACUCAUUUAUCAUUUAUUCCCCCCAUAUUUAUACCAAUUUCAUAGAUAUGAAAAAAAUAUGAAAUUGCAUACAGCUUCAUUCACAAACUAGAUUCAUAGAGCUAUGUUCAAUUUCUUAACAUAGCCAUAUUUAUAGGAAGUCAGCCCAUGUCAUUCAUGUAAAUUUUAACGGUAUGUUAGCAUACCAAAAAGCUUUGGAAUUCCAAUCUGUUGCCUUAAAUCUUUGGGUUGUGAUUUUUCCCCCCUCUCCAGAGUAUGAGUCUUUACCACAAUAGAUUUCUGAUUCAUAAUCAAAGCCUCAAUGUGCUACCACAAUAAAAAUAUCAACACAAAUUCUUGUAGAAACUUAGUCUGUGUUUUAGCAAGACCAAUAUUGGUAUUUGAGAAUUCACCGAUAGAUUAUCUAAGCCUAGCACCUAGUCUACAGAGCCGUCAAUAUUUGUCCAGUAUUGGUACAUUCAUUAGUGAAUCCUUUUGGAAGGGGAAUAUAUUGGCUGUGGAUAGAGUGGUAAAAUCCACUCCUUUUGCUUGCCAGAAGUCAAACGUAUUCAUAAAGACCCACCUGUCUUUUUCAGAAUACUUCUCUAUGUAUACACUCCUACCAGAGUGACAUUAUUGCACAGUACUUUCUGUACAAUGCAGACAGAAAAGACGCAGUGAAGAAUUCCAAGACAAUUUUAGGAUUAAUCUAUACUAUUAAUGACAUAUUAAUGGUCAUGUCGUUCUCCUAGUACAACCUCUUUGGUACUAGCAAAUACACUAAUUUUCAUACUGAUUGCAAAACUACCUAUGAUUUUCUAUGCUCUUUACGUGCCAUAAGCCUUAGCCUUUUAACAGCUAUUACAGCGGGUUCAUCUGCAUCAUUUCUACUUCAUGAAGACAGUGUCUAUAAUCUUUGUAUGCUUGAACAAAAAACCCCAAACCUCUGAAACUAUACAAGGCUGCUAGUUAUACUGCUUCUAAUUGCAAUCUGUUGUUCUGUAUUUUGGGCUAUGAUUUACUAUUUUUCCAGAUUCCAACAGCCUAACUUCCCCAGUAUGUGGAAAAUGGAUGUUGCAGUUGCACAAAUCAGCUGUGCAUGUACACCGACUCUUUACUGUAUGCGCAGGAAUUUCUUGUGCCCAUAUACUAUGUAUCUACAUUGUUCCUGACCAUCUUGCACCUUCCACUUUGAAUUUCUAAGUGUUGUCAGACUUGGGACAGAUUCUUUUCAACAAUUCAACACAGAUCAUUUUUCUACAGUUAUUACAGAGAACAGAAAAAUUCACAAUUUGCAAAGCAGGAUGGACUUUAACAUAUAGUUUGCAAGAACUAGUAUGCUCUCUAAUAUAGACAUCUAUUGACAGUUACAGAAUGAUUCAAACAUGCUAUUAUUUCUGCCUUCUUCUGUUGUUUGAACCAUAUUUGGUUCAAUAAUUGUACAGCUGGUUUAAAAGUAGUCUGUUUUCUCUGGAUAGCCCGCUAAUGCUGGUAGGAAGUCUAAUCGUGAAUGUUUAACCUCCAAAUAUUUUGCAGACUGAGAAUAAGGGUAGUAUUUAAUUUCUUUAAUAUAGAUUUGCUUAAAAUAAGACUUAUAUUUUGUAUCUUAAAUAAUAUUCUUUGCACUUUGAUAUCUGAAAGGCUAAAAUCCUGCUCAUGCUCCAGGAGUUACCAUAAAAAGAAGCAACAUGAAGUAUGUUUUACUCCAAUGUUUCACCAUUUAGGGAAAAGUGAAUCUGUAAGAUCAAUCUAGAAAGAGAUCACAACCAUAAAAAUGCACCAAAUUUGUAUGGAUGACAUCAUGUAAGUGAUUUAAAUCUUUGCAAACUCUUAACUGAGAAACAUGAUCCUCACUUCUUGCUUUUAAUAGUAUAAGUCUCCAUCUGCAGGUAGAGUUGAUCACAAGCUCCAUCCUCCAUCAAUGAUGAGUUCGUUGCCAGUCAUGUAGGCAGACUGAAAUUACAUAAAAGGAAUGAAGAUGACAAUGACAACAGAGGAGGAUUUUGUUCUUUCUCAAUAUACCUACAAAGCUCCUAAAACGUGAAGGACUAGCAUCAUCUCUGUUGUGGAGCACCAAGGAAUUUGUGCACCUAAAAUAAAAUCAAGAGAAACCAGCCUGAGGACAAGGUGUAACAUUCCUGCUGCUUGCCUGCCCCUAGGAUUUACCUCCUACCUAGUUGAUAGAAUUAUUAAAAUGACACUACUGUUAUUUAUCUUGUUCCAACUUGCAUGGUACGAGAGAGUGACAAAGACUUUAAAAAACAAAAUAAACCAACAGCAUAACCCUGACUAUAGUUUGUUCUGUAUAAUCCCAGCAUAGCUAUUCAGUCAGUUAAGGCGAAGCUACCUUUCCAAGUGAAUCUAAAAUGAUUGCUUACCUUUGUAAAAUGCUACUGAUCAAUACUCUGUGACGUGAAUCCCCACAUGCAACAUGAUGUGCUCUUCAUAUGAAACAUCCCCCUCAAUCACUUUUACAGUGAAGGAUCACUGAUCUGAAGUUGAAUGCUUUGCUGACAAAUACUCAUUGCUAUGAGCUGGUAUGUUGGUGGUAGUUCUUAAGGUACGUACUAUCCACCUUGCCAUCUUUGUCACCACAGUAAGUCACCCUACAUGGGCAUCUGUCUCAUCCCAUCUGCCAACGUAGCAAUUCACUGAUCCCCUCCAAACUCUUCUUGCUUUGGAGAAGAAUAAAGCACAGCUCUCUAGCAUCUUUGAAUUGUAGCUAAGUUAUAAACUUUUUAGGCAUCACAGAACCUCAGAUGCCUAAAGUU
Cygnus olor (mute swan) is the source of this 3565-nucleotide long non-coding RNA. RefSeq lists it as uncharacterized. NCBI's taxonomy places the organism in Eukaryota, Metazoa, Chordata, Aves, Anseriformes, Anatidae. The transcript has 3 exons. The record is from RefSeq and is a predicted model, not a curated record.